UAGAUAGAUUAGCAAGACUCCAACCUAUAUGCAAAAUGAUAGACAAGAAUGUGCAAAAUACAGAAUGAGAGAUAGAUAGAUAUGAAAGGCACUAUAUAAUACAGAAAAAUAGAUAGACAUGAAAAGCACUAUGUGAUAGAUAGAUGGAUAGAGAGACAGACAGAUGCUAGAAGCUGUAGACAAAUAGUUGAUUGUAUGGAGUACAGUGACAUUCUUACUUGUAUGUCUUAUGAACAUGUGACUUGGCACCGCUCUCUGGCGCUAUGAUAAUAAUAAAGAAUGCGUACACAUACUGUAAGUGGGAAGUGCCAGCACAUUCCUUGUCUCUGGUGACACAUUAACCGCACUGGCACGUUUCUAGCUCACUUCACUGAUGUGCACACAUCACUUUAUGUUCCUUCUAAUAGGCAGAUAAUUUUGUAGGUCAUUAUCUACUAGACUGGGUGCUACAGCGUUAUGGUGGUGAACACAUCUUCCACGUGGAUCCUGCCAGCACCCUGGGUUCAAGUCCCUCACCCUAACAGUCUGCAUGUACAGCAGGAACUUCAUGUUCUUCCCGUACCUGUGCAGGUUCUUCCACAAGUCCUCCAGUUUUCUUCCUACAUCUUCAAAGGCUCACAGAUUAGCUUAAUGGGGGGUGUCAUGUAAGUGUACGUGAGAGGGCCCCUUUGAUGGACUGUUGUGCCAUCCAGGAUUGGUUCCUGCUUUGUACCCAAUGCUGUCAAGACCAGUUCUGGCCCCCAGUGACCCUGAACUGGAGUGAUGGGGUUGACGCUGUUCCAUUAUCUGUGCUACUGUGUAAUAGACUGGGGUACAACUUAUUUAUUACCCAAAAGGAAACUCUACCAGCUAAACAGAAAAUACAAAAGCAGUUCAGCUCCAGCCAUCUUUCAUGUGUGUGUUGAGGGGUCUGAUGGCACUCACUGUAACUAAAUCAGUGUUUUAAAUGAGCCCCCUAACUAAUCCCCUCUUCCUCUUUCCAUUAGGAUGUGGUGGUGUAAGACUCCAGUUUUGUGCACACCAUGCGAUCUCAGGGGUUCCCUGUGGCAACUCCCCAGAAACGGCAGGGAGACCAAAGACCACCUGAGGGACGUUCCUGGGCCCCUCAACAUCACUUCCAGUUCUGGACACAAUGACAUCACUUCCAAUUUUGGACCCAGUGACAUCACUUCCUCCAAGUGACUAUAAAACCACCAUCUUUUUGCCGUUAAGAAUUAAUUUGCCAGAAUCUUCAAGAAUACAGGGUGGCUACCCCAAACCUUUUCUCUGUCUUCUUCUGUUUUAUUUACACCAUAUUUAAUGAGCCCACUUCUAAAUGGGUGU
This is a long non-coding RNA of Polypterus senegalus (gray bichir), 1323 nucleotides long. RefSeq lists it as uncharacterized. NCBI's taxonomy places the organism in Eukaryota, Metazoa, Chordata, Cladistia, Polypteriformes, Polypteridae. The transcript is spliced from 2 exons. The record is from RefSeq and is a predicted model, not a curated record.